UGGGGAAUUUUGGACAAUGGGGGCAACCCUGAUCCAGCCAUUCCGCGUGAGUGAAGAAGGCCUUCGGGUUGUAAAGCUCUUUUGUCAGGGAAGAAACACCGGCUCUAACACAGUCCGGGAAUGACGGUACCUGAAGAAUAAGCACCGGCUAACUACGUGCCAGCAGCCGCGGUAAUACGUAGGGUGCAAGCGUUAAUCGGAAUUACUGGGCGUAAAGCGUGCGCAGGCGGUUAUACAAGACAGGCGUGAAAUCCCCGGGCUUAACCUGGGAAUGGCGCCUGUGACUGUAUAGCUAGAGUGUGUCAGAGGGGGGUAGAAUUCCACGUGUAGCAGUGAAAUGCGUAGAUAUGUGGAGGAAUACCAAUGGCGAAGGCAGCCCCCUGGGAUAACACUGACGCUCAUGCACGAAAGCGUGGGGAGCAAACAGGAUUAGAUACCCUGGUAGUCCACGCCCUAAACGAUGCUGACUAGUUGUUCGGGAUUUACAUCCUGAGUAACGUAGCUAACGCGUGAAGUCAGCCGCCUGGGGAGUACGGUCGCAAGAUUA
This 547-nucleotide ribosomal RNA is filed under the name uncultured prokaryote. Its description in RNAcentral is "bacterial SSU rRNA". It matches the Rfam family "Bacterial small subunit ribosomal RNA", at positions 355 to 896 of the family's 1533-position model. The record is from RNAcentral.